CCUGGGCAGAUCCAAUUUUUCACCCGAGAAGAAGGUAGAUGUCAAGUUUACUGAUGACUAUGGCAUAUCUGAGGGUGCCGUGGACAAUGGAGGACCUACUCGGGAGUUUUUCCGACUCUGUCUUCAUGAAAUCAAGGACAAAAUUGGCAUCUUUGAAGGUCCACCUGAUGCUAAAGUCCUCACAUGCAACUCCAAAGCGAUGAAAGAUAAUGGAUACUUCAAUGCUGGCCAGAUUAUGGCAAUGUCAAUUGCUCAUGGGGGACAGAGUCCAUGUUUCCUGUCUGAACUCUUGUAUGAGUGUCUUCAGAAAGGUCCGGACAAUGUAAAGGUCAAAACUGAACAUAUUACUGAUGAAGAAACAAGGUCACAGGUGCAGUCGAUCUUACAAGCUGAGACUGAAUCACAACUGCAAGAUGCAGUUA
This is a long non-coding RNA of Neoarius graeffei (lesser salmon catfish), 422 nucleotides long. RefSeq lists it as uncharacterized. Lineage: Eukaryota; Metazoa; Chordata; Actinopteri; Siluriformes; Ariidae. The transcript is spliced from 3 exons. The record is from RefSeq and is a predicted model, not a curated record.